CAGUCGCCGCGGUAACACGGAGGGUGCAAGCGUUAUCCGGAUUUAUUGGGUUUAAAGGGUCCGUAGGCGGACUUAUAAGUCAGUGGUGAAAGCCUGUCGCUUAACGAUAGAACUGCCAUUGAUACUGUAAGUCUUGAGUAUAUUUGAGGUAGCUGGAAUAAGUAGUGUAGCGGUGAAAUGCAUAGAUAUUACUUAGAACACCAAUUGCGAAGGCAGGUUACCAAGAUAUAACUGACGCUGAGGGACGAAAGCGUGGGUAGCGAACAGGAUUAGAUACCCCGGUAGUCCCUGUCUCUUAUAA
RNAcentral lists this ribosomal RNA (301 nucleotides) under uncultured bacterium. RNAcentral describes it as "partial 16S ribosomal RNA". It matches the Rfam family "Bacterial small subunit ribosomal RNA", at positions 509 to 809 of the family's 1533-position model. The record is from RNAcentral.